CGGGCACUGUCGUUGCUGUGCAUUGCUUGCUGCUCACUUAAGACCUGUCGUGGUGCUUACCGUCAGUUCCAUUCCUAUAUUUUACGAUUUGUUGGCGUUUCUCGAAUUCUCGGACGAACACCCGGUCUGAAAUUCAACGAAGGAUGCGUGAGGUUUCAUUCGCCGUUGUCUGCAGGCUUGUCGUCAGAAGAUCUUAUGAGCGUAGCUCGCAUGUCACCCCAACUUGGCCGUGGAGACCGUGGACAACUCCAAUUUGGAGGUUUUCUUGGCCGUGGUCUGAAAGCCUGUCGUGGGAGUAUCUUAUGCCACCUCGUUGCUACGCUGCCGUCCUCUCGCCUAGUGGAUACGCUGCGUCACGAGGCCGUGUCAGAAGUUGCUCGCCGUCAAUGAUACUUAAAUCUAAUCGAGGUA
This is a long non-coding RNA of Hyalella azteca, 411 nucleotides long. RefSeq lists it as uncharacterized. The record is from RefSeq and is a predicted model, not a curated record. The transcript has 3 exons. Lineage: Eukaryota; Metazoa; Arthropoda; Malacostraca; Amphipoda; Hyalellidae.